UUUUUUUUUUUUUUUGGUUGGGUGCCUUAAAACCAUGGGCUGUCUCUUUUCACUGGGAUCUGCCAUGGGGAGUAUAGAGAAGGCAUUCAGCUAUAGAACCUCAUCUAAUCUCCUGUACAAAGCCUCUCUGUGCUCCCAGCCACGGCCACCAAGCCAAGGUAGCUGCCUGGCAACAAGCCAAGGACUCCUACCCGAGGGAUCCAGCCUGAGCUCCCUUCUUUUACCCCUCGGUCCCAGGCUAGAUCCAGCCCGUGGCCUCUACUCUCUUCUCAUCUCUUCCCUAGCUUCCAGUGACGCCUGGGUGCCCAAGAGCCUGAGAAACAGAUGGCCCUGGCUCCCCUGCAGGCCUGGGGACCCCUGAGCAAGCUCCGGCCUUCCUGGGGACCUCAGACACCACCCCACUAGCGGUGUCCCAUGGCUUUCCAUAGCCUGACACCUGCCCAGUGCUGGCGUGUGCUAAACACAGUCCAAACUCCCCGAGUGUCUGGAGCCCUGUGGUGGAGCAGACACAGGACCCCAUUAACCCUACAUCCCCCCUCUAGGAUUUUUGAUAAGGGGUUACCCCACUUGUCUGUUGGAGGCACAGGCUUCCUUUUGGAAUUACUUUGGUCUUUGCAAUUCCUUUCAAAAUUUUCUUGCUCACCACAAUCAACACAUUUGUGUGUUUGGAUUGUUUCAAAGCCCUUAAUGACAACCAUAUUAAGACCACAUUAGGUGAAUGUAUCUAAUAUCAACUGGAUUCCUAAUCCAUUCAUUGAUUGAUGCUGUCCUUGCCCUUAAUGGUCUGUUACUUCUUUGCAUUCAUCAUUGGCAUUUUUCUAAAGCUAGAGAUUCAGUUAGUGCCUUUCUUGCUAAUGGAUCUGAUAUAUGUCUCUCCACAGUUGAAAUCUAUCUUUGUAGAAAUCAUCGAAUGUUUUUUUUUCUUUAGACUUUCCAACACCUGAAAAAUGGUUUAAGACUUUUUCCUGUUUCCUCAACCCAGUCCCAGGCAUUUAAGGCUGCCACAUGAAAUAAUGUCAAGGUUUCUCAUCAUAUUCAGCCUGUAUAUCUGCUUUAGGACAAUGACCUCACCAAGUAGAUGAUCCCUAGGAGUGCUGAUGCCUCUGAAUUUAAUUUCUCAUGCUAUCUUCUUAGCCUCUCCUCUCCACCAUGAAACCCCUUCUAAAUAUGGGUCAUGUUUUGAUAAUGGUCUGGCCAUUCCUUUCCAGUCUUGGAGGAUUAUUCUAUUUUUGACUACCCAAGAAGUCAGUAUUUGUUUUACAAAUGGGGAAUGCAAAAUUAGUGAUAGUUUCUUUAAAAUUUCUCAAUUCUAACAUAUCCAGGUUGCCAUCAAAUUCCUGAAAAUUUCGUGGAUGAUUAUCAUCUGCUGGUCUUUGUUGAAUAAAGUUUGUUUUUUAACU
RNAcentral lists this long non-coding RNA (1400 nucleotides) under Mus musculus (house mouse). RNAcentral describes it as "long non-coding RNA chr7:25937319-25938719". Lineage: Eukaryota; Metazoa; Chordata; Mammalia; Rodentia; Muridae. The record is from RNAcentral.